Molecule: long non-coding RNA, 318 nt
Filed under: Theobroma cacao (cacao)
Lineage: Eukaryota; Viridiplantae; Streptophyta; Magnoliopsida; Malvales; Malvaceae
Description: long non-coding RNA (TCAC_LNC004206)
Source: RNAcentral
AAACUAAUAGAACAACAAGCAAAGCUAAAAUCCGAGACCAUUAAAUCUCAGAAUCACAUCAACAAAGAGAGUGGAUGGCUGCUCUCUGGCUUUCAGAAUCUAAACUAAUCUGAUCUAAUCUUCAUCAGCUCCGGAAGCCUUGGAGGAGGUUCCGGUUUUCUUGGGGAGGAGGAGGUUGUGGAUGUUAGGCAUCACACCACCAUUGGCAAUUGUUACGUCUCCGAGUAGCUUGCUCAGCUCCUCAUCGUUUCUUACGGCGAGCUGGAUGUGACGUGGCACAAUUCUGGUUUUCUUGUUGUCUCUGGCUGCAUUACCGGC